Molecule: ribosomal RNA, 639 nt
Filed under: uncultured Verrucomicrobiota bacterium
Lineage: Bacteria; Pseudomonadati; Verrucomicrobiota
Description: bacterial SSU rRNA
Rfam family: Bacterial small subunit ribosomal RNA
Source: RNAcentral
CAUGCAAGUCGAACGGGUUCAGUUUGGUAGCAAUACUGAAUUGAGCCAGUGGCGAACGGGUGCGUAACACGUGAGUCAUCUGCCUGAAAGUGGGGGAUAGCUCGCCGAAAGGCGAAUUAAUACCGCAUGUGCCCCGAAGCAAUUCGGGGUAAAGCCGGGGUAACCUGGCGUCUUCAGAGGAGCUCGCGGCCUAUCAGCUAGUUGGUGAGGUAAUAGCUUACCAAGGCUUCGACGGGUAGCUGGUCUGAGAGGACGACCAGCCACACUGGAACUGAGACACGGUCCAGACACCUACGGGUGGCAGCAGUCGAGAAUUUUUCUCAAUGGGGGAAACCCUGAAGGAGCGACGCCGCGUGGAGGAUGAAUGCUUUCGGGUUGUAAACUCCUGUCAUUUGGAAACAAAGCCUUACGUUAACUGCGUGGAGGCCUGAUAGUACCAGAAGAGGAAGAGACGGCUAACUCUGUGCCAGCAGCCGCGGUAAUACAGAGGUCUCAAGCGUUGUUCGGAUUCAUUGGGCGUAAAGGGCGCGUAGGCUGCGGGGCAAGUCGGGUGUGAAAUCUCAGAGCUCAACUCUGAAACUGCACUCGAUACUGCUUUGCUUGAGGACUGGAGAGGAGAUUGGAAUUCACGGUGUAGCA